This 716-nucleotide long non-coding RNA is filed under the name Vulpes vulpes (red fox). Its description in RNAcentral is "lncRNA (ENSVVUG00000026303.1)". The record is from RNAcentral. Lineage: Eukaryota; Metazoa; Chordata; Mammalia; Carnivora; Canidae.
GGAAGAGCCAGAGAAAAGCCAUUUUCUGUUCCCAGAAAAUCAGCACCAAUCCGAAGCCCACACCGAUGUGCUGCUCUUCUCCACAAGCCAUGAUUCGUUUAGUGCCAGAACAGACUGUACUCUCAGGCCGCAUGCAGCUUGUUCUGAGCCUCAGGCCACCAGGCAUAAGAAAGAACGCAUGGUCAUUAGCUGACUCUGAUGAUCAGAUCAUGGAACUUCUUCCUGCGCUUUGGAAUAGGUGGUGUCUCAGAGAAGAGCUGUGUCUAACAGGUCAUCCUAAGACCCAGAGAGGUUUUCCCAAGACCCAGAGCUCUCCUGUGGAACUGGGGCUGAAAACAAGCAUGAUCCACAACAUAUUAGAGGUUAGCGAAGAGCCCUUUUACAUGUUAAAGGAGAAGCCUGGAAAAGGUGAAACCUGAAAGAAUUACCUCUUUAAUGCUGGAAUUGCAGGGUCCUUGGCAGGAUGUGGAUGGGAGAGGUUGUGAUUGUUUUGGAGGAAGGGGUAUCUUUCCAGUGCCCUUCAAGACACAUCACAUAUGUCACCUUCUAAUGUCCUCAGUUACAAAGCCACUUCUUGGGGCACCUGGGUGGCUCAGUGGUUGAGCUGAGUGCCUUUGGCUCAGGGCAUGAUCCUGGGGUCCCGGGAUCAAGUCCCCAAUCGGGCUCCCCGCAAGGAGACUGCUUCUCCUCCUGCCUGUAUCUCCACCUCCGUCUCU